Molecule: ribosomal RNA, 495 nt
Filed under: uncultured bacterium
Lineage: Bacteria
Description: partial 16S ribosomal RNA
Rfam family: Bacterial small subunit ribosomal RNA
Source: RNAcentral
GAUGAACGCUGGCGGCGUGCCUAAUACAUGCAAGUAGAACGCUGAAGGAGGAGCUUGCUCUUCUGGAUGAGUUGCGAACGGGUGAGUAACGCGUAGGUAACCUGCCUGGUAGCGGGGGAUAACUAUUGGAAACGAUAGCUAAUACCGCAUGACAACAGUUAUUGCAUGAUAACUGUUUAAAAGGGGCAACUGCUCCACUACCAGAUGGACCUGCGUUGUAUUAGCUAGUUGGUGAGGUAACGGCUCACCAAGGCGACGAUACAUAGCCGACCUGAGAGGGGGGUCGGCCACACUGGGCCUGAGACACGGCCCAGGCUCCUACGGGAGGCAGCAGUAGGGAAUCUUCGGCAAUGGACGGAAGUCUGACCGAGCAACGCCGCGUGAGUGAAGAAUGUUUUCGGAUCGUAAAGCUCUGUUGUAAGAGAAGAACGAGUGUGAGAGUGGAAAGUUCACACUGUGACGGUAUCUUACCAGAAAGGGACGGCUAACUACGUG